Molecule: ribosomal RNA, 261 nt
Filed under: uncultured prokaryote
Description: partial 16S ribosomal RNA
Rfam family: Bacterial small subunit ribosomal RNA
Source: RNAcentral
UACGUAGGGUGCGAGCGUUGUCCGGAAUUAUUGGGCGUAAAGAGCUUGUAGGCGGUUUGUCGCGUCUGCUGUGAAAAUCCGGGGCUCAACCCCGGACCUGCAGUGGGUACGGGCAGACUAGAGUGUGGUAGGGGAGACUGGAACUCCUGGUGUAGCGGUGAAAUGCGCAGAUAUCAGGAAGAACACCGAUGGCGAAGGCAGGUCUCUGGGCCAUUACUGACACUGAGGAGCGAAAGCAUGGGUAGCGAACAGGAUUAGAUA